RNAcentral lists this ribosomal RNA (598 nucleotides) under Filobasidium magnum. Its description in RNAcentral is "LSU rRNA". It matches the Rfam family "Eukaryotic large subunit ribosomal RNA", at positions 44 to 628 of the family's 3401-position model. The record is from RNAcentral. Lineage: Eukaryota; Fungi; Basidiomycota; Tremellomycetes; Filobasidiales; Filobasidiaceae.
CAAUAAGCGGAGGAAAAGAAACUAACAAGGAUUCCCCUAGUAACGGCGAGUGAAGCGGGAAGAGCUCAAAUUUGAAAUCUGGUGGCCUCAGGUCAUCCGAGUUGUAAUCUAUAGAAGUGUUUUCCGUGCUGGCUCAUGUACAAGUCCCUUGGAACAGGGCGUCAUAGAGGGUGAGAAUCCCGUCCUUGACAUGAACUACCAGUGCUCUGUGAUACAUUUUCAACGAGUCGAGUUGUUUGGGAAUGCAGCUCAAAAUGGGUGGUAAAUUCCAUCUAAAGCUAAAUAUUGGCGAGAGACCGAUAGCGAACAAGUACCGUGAGGGAAAGAUGAAAAGCACUUUGGAAAGAGAGUUAAACAGUAUGUGAAAUUGUUGAAAGGGAAACGAUUGAAGUCAGUCGUGCUCUUUGGAUUCAGCCGGUUCUGCCGGUGUACUUCCUUUGAGUGGGGUCAACAUCAGUUUUGAUCGCUGGAUAAAGGCUGGAGGAAACGUAGUACCCUCGGGUAAACUUAUAGCCUCCUGUCACAUACAGUGGUUGGGACUGAGGAACGCAGCACGCCUUUAUGGCCGGGAUUCGUCCACGUACGUGCUAGGAUGUGA